UAAUAAAAGGACUAAAAUUAAAAUUAAAAUUAAAAUUAAAGGUCAUACAACUUCAAAAUUAAAGGAGUACGCAUGUCGCAUGGCAAAUGCCAUGGACACUUGCAAUAUAUAGGCAUAUAGAUUUGUAUAUAUUUUUUAACAGAUACCUCCGUAGAUGAAACAACCGGACUACAACAUAGGAAGGUGCCCUAGAGAAAUCAAUAACCAUGGCAAAGAGAACACAAACAACAAAAGCAAAAAUCAGUCUGUUGAUAUGAAGGAGUGAGUUGGAGAUUGAGGAUGGUUCACCUUGUCUCCCUGAGAGCCGAGAGCCUUACAAGGAAGCUUGGUUGGUGGUAGAAAGCCUUCAAGAGAAUGAUAACAGUGAGUUU
This 371-nucleotide long non-coding RNA is filed under the name Gossypium raimondii (Peruvian cotton). RNAcentral describes it as "long non-coding RNA (GRAI_LNC005214)". Lineage: Eukaryota; Viridiplantae; Streptophyta; Magnoliopsida; Malvales; Malvaceae. The record is from RNAcentral.